AGAGUUUGAUCCUGGCUCAGGACGAACGCUGGCGGCGUGCCUAAUACAUGCAAGUCGAGCGGACAGAAGGGAGCUUGCUCCCGGAUGUUAGCGGCGGACGGGUGAGUAACACGUGGGUAACCUGCCUGUAAGACUGGGAUAACUCCGGGAAACCGGAGCUAAUACCGGAUAGUUCCUUGAACCGCAUGGUUCAGGGAUGAAAGACGGUUUCGGCUGUCACUUACAGAUGGACCCGCGGCGCAUUAGCUAGUUGGUGGGGUAAUGGCUCACCAAGGCGACGAUGCGUAGCCGACCUGAGAGGGUGAUCGGCCACACUGGGACUGAGACACGGCCCAGACUCCUACGGGAGGCAGCAGUAGGGAAUCUUCCGCAAUGGACGAAAGUCUGACGGAGCAACGCCGCGUGAGUGAUGAAGGUUUUCGGAUCGUAAAGCUCUGUUGUUAGGGAAGAACAAGUGCGAGAGUAACUGCUCGCACCUUGACGGUACCUAACCAGAAAGCCACGGCUAACUACGUGCCAGCAGCCGCGGUAAUACGUAGGUGGCAAGCGUUGUCCGGAAUUAUUGGGCGUAAAGGGCUCGCAGGCGGUUUCUUAAGUCUGAUGUGAAAGCCCCCGGCUCAACCGGGGAGGGUCAUUGGAAACUGGGAAACUUGAGUGCAGAAGAGGAGAGUGGAAUUCCACGUGUAGCGGUGAAAUGCGUAGAGAUGUGGAGGAACACCAGUGGCGAAGGCGACUCUCUGGUCUGUAACUGACGCUGAGGAGCGAAAGCGUGGGGAGCGGACAGGAUUAGAUACCCUGGUAGUCC
This 805-nucleotide ribosomal RNA is filed under the name uncultured bacterium. RNAcentral describes it as "bacterial SSU rRNA". It matches the Rfam family "Bacterial small subunit ribosomal RNA", at positions 8 to 796 of the family's 1533-position model. The record is from RNAcentral.